CGCUGGCGGCAAGCUUAACACAUGCAAGUCGAACGGACCGUACGCGCAGCUUGCUGCGUGUAUGGUUAGUGGCAGACGGGUGAGUAAUGCAUAGGAAUCUGCCUAGUAGUAUAGGAUAGCCACUAGAAAUGGUGGGUAAUACUGUAUAAUCCCUGCGGGGGAAAGAUUUAUCGCUACUAGAUGAGCCUAUGUCAGAUUAGCUAGUUGGUGGGGUAAUGGCCCACCAAGGCUGUGAUCUGUAGCUGGUCUGAGAGGAUGAUCAGCCACACUGGAACUGAGACACGGUCCAGACUCCUACGGGAGGCAGCAGUGGGGAAUAUUGGACAAUGGGCGCAAGCCUGAUCCAGCUAUGCCGCGUGAGUGAGGAAGGCCUUAGGGUUGUAAAACUCUUUCAGUAGGGAAGAUAAUGACGGUACCUACAGAAAAAGUCCCGGCAAACUC
RNAcentral lists this ribosomal RNA (441 nucleotides) under Anaplasma ovis. RNAcentral describes it as "bacterial SSU rRNA". It matches the Rfam family "Bacterial small subunit ribosomal RNA", at positions 34 to 503 of the family's 1533-position model. Lineage: Bacteria; Pseudomonadati; Pseudomonadota; Alphaproteobacteria; Rickettsiales; Anaplasmataceae. The record is from RNAcentral.